GUCGGUGUGGCGGAAUGGUAGACGUGCAUGCUUGAGGUGCAUGUGGAGAGAUCCGUGGGGGUUCAAGUCCCCCCAUCGACA
Clostridium sp. CAG:813 is the source of this 81-nucleotide non-coding RNA. The record is from Rfam. NCBI's taxonomy places the organism in Bacteria, Bacillati, Bacillota, Clostridia, Eubacteriales, Clostridiaceae.